This is a long non-coding RNA of Oncorhynchus masou masou (cherry salmon), 592 nucleotides long. RefSeq lists it as uncharacterized. The transcript is spliced from 4 exons. The record is from RefSeq and is a predicted model, not a curated record. Lineage: Eukaryota; Metazoa; Chordata; Actinopteri; Salmoniformes; Salmonidae.
AGAUAUAUAUAUAUAUAUAUAUUUCCAGAAGUAUAUGACCCUUCUAUUAAGAGUACUGCAUGUAUAUAGAAUGGAUUAUUUUUUAAUGAAGACAGAAACAGUCUUAUUAUACACAGAAAGUAUAUAUUUAACCUCCCCCAUGAUAUUAUAGCACUUAAUGAGGUCUAACACAGUAAAUUACAGACAGUAAAUCUCCCCAUGAUAUUAUAGCACUUAAUGAGGUCUAACACAGUAAAUUACAGACAGUAAAUCUCCCCAUGAUAUUAUAGCACUUAAUGAGGUCUAACACAGUAAAUUACAGACAGUAAAUCUCCCCAUGAUAUUAUAGCACUUAAUGAGGUCUAACACAGUAAAUUACAGACAGUAAAUCUCCCCCAUGAUAUUAUAGCACCUAAUGAGGUCUAACACAGUAAAUCUCCCCAUGAUAUUAUAGCACUUAAUGAGGUCUAACACAGUAAAUUACAGACAGUAAAUCUCCCCAUGAUAUUAUAGCACUUAAUGAGGUCUAACACAGUAAAUUACAGACAGUAAAUCUCCCCAUGAUAUUAUAGCACUUAAUGAGGUCUAACACAGUAAAUUACAGACAGUAAAU